Long non-coding RNA from Canis lupus familiaris (dog), 348 nucleotides. RefSeq lists it as uncharacterized. NCBI's taxonomy places the organism in Eukaryota, Metazoa, Chordata, Mammalia, Carnivora, Canidae. The record is from RefSeq and is a predicted model, not a curated record. The transcript is spliced from 2 exons.
UUGGCUUCUCACUCAGGAGCACUCCCCAAUUCUCAGACCUGUUACCUGUUUCUGAUGGAAUCCUUUCCCUGGCAAAGCCACGAGCAGUGUCCAGUAAACCCUGCACAGGAGCCUUUUACAACUCUUGACAGCUGGGAUUUGAAAAAAUAGGCUAUGACUACCUGACUCGCCUAAAAGACGUGAGGACCCCGGAAAAGCAGACCAGAUGGAUGACCAGAGGAACUGAGAGGUCCCCAAGGUCCCCAGGGUGGGAUCUGUGACAGGCUGGAGCUGGCGGUGAAGCUCAGCCAGGACGACAUCCUGCCCAGCAAAACUGCCUCUCUGUAAAUAAAUAUGUGUCGCAUCAUC